CGUCUUGCGCCUGAAAAGGCGGCGGUGCGAGCCGUGGGCGAGAAGUCAGCAGAGGCCGUAGUAGCCGCCCGGACGGGGCGAAGGGC
Non-coding RNA from Betaproteobacteria bacterium, 86 nucleotides. The record is from Rfam. NCBI's taxonomy places the organism in Bacteria, Pseudomonadati, Pseudomonadota, Betaproteobacteria.